This 204-nucleotide long non-coding RNA is filed under the name Theobroma cacao (cacao). Its description in RNAcentral is "long non-coding RNA (TCAC_LNC002592)". Lineage: Eukaryota; Viridiplantae; Streptophyta; Magnoliopsida; Malvales; Malvaceae. The record is from RNAcentral.
AGGCCUCGCUAUAAAGAAAAGUGAAGUCAGUAUGUCCAAGAAUGAGGUUGGACCAGCACACGUGACAUCCCCCAUUGUCGCAUUUGCAGCAAAUUCUCUGCCCUCUGUAGACCCUAAUGCCUAUGAAGGAGACUAAGCCUGAAGUCCUUAUUUUUGAGCUACUAAGAGCUACUGCAAUGCAACAUUCAAUGUAGGGUCGCUGGU